GUGAGGAAAGAGAUGCGCACUUACAACCACAGGAAGCGAAUCUCGUCCAUGCUCCCAGUCUUCUUAACUUUCCUGGUGGAGGGCAAGUCAAACCAACAGUGAAGUUCGACUCAGAGCCGCUGCCGUUGACGGCGCAGGGGCAGAGAAUUCCCAAGAGGGUAAAAGCCAGAUUUGGGAGGUCAAGCCAGUCAAUCCUAACGGAAAUCAGUCCUGAAUAUUCACUGGAAGGACUGAUGCUGAAGCUGAAGCUCCAAUUCUUGGAUCAUCUGAUGUGAAGAGAGCCAACUCAUUGGAAAAGACCCUGAUGCUGGGGAAGAUCGAAGGCAGGAAGAGAAGGAAUCGACAGAGGAUGAGAUGUUUGGAUGGCAUCACCAACUCAGGGGAUAUGAAUUUGAGCAAGCUCUGGGAGUUGGUGAAGGACAGGGAAGCCUGGCAUAAUGCAGUCCAUAGAGUCGUAAAGAGUCAGACACAGCUUAACAACAAAAUGUUUUUAAUAUAACUUCAAAAACGAACUUAAAAUCACUUGUGAAAAUAUGUAGAAACUAAUUUCUGGUCUUACUGUAACCAUUGUUAAACUAUUGCUUUUCUCUGUAAUUUUGGAAUAUUCCUAGAGAGUCCUUACCCUUCAAAAAUAUAAAAAAGCACAAUUAAAGAAAAAGAAAGCCAAGUCAAUUAAUCAAGUACUUUUUUUUUCUAAAUAGAUUCUGGUAUCCAAAGAAAAGUCGUUGUCUCUACUGUAUUUUGUUUGAGCAGAAUUAGAAUAUAUAUUCCAAGUUGUCCUAAAAUCAUGUCUGGGUAAAACAUGUUAGUAAAAGAAGUUAAUCAAAGUGAAAACAUAAAAAAAUAAAUAAAUGGUGUUGUCUGUGUUGUUGUCUUUAAUUUCUCCUGAAUUUUUGAAUCCAUUAACAACCAUGUAGUUUGAAAGGCUGUUAUAUUUUCCCUACAGUCUGAAAAUAAUUGAUUAAAACUUUUAAACUAAUAUCAAGAAGACUUAAAUGUCAUACAUUAUAUUCUUACUGUAUUACCUA
Long non-coding RNA from Bos taurus (domestic cattle), 1028 nucleotides. The record is from Ensembl. Lineage: Eukaryota; Metazoa; Chordata; Mammalia; Artiodactyla; Bovidae.